GCUGGGCAUGGUGGCUCAUGCCUGUAAUCCCAGCACUUUGGGAGGCUGAGGCAGGAGGAUCACUUGAGCCUAGGAAUUUGAGACCAGCCUGGACAACAUAGUGAGAUCCUGUCUCUC
Macaca fascicularis (crab-eating macaque) is the source of this 117-nucleotide unclassified non-coding RNA. It matches the Rfam family "Metazoan signal recognition particle RNA". Rfam says of the family: The signal recognition particle (SRP) is a universally conserved ribonucleoprotein. It is involved in the co-translational targeting of proteins to membranes. The eukaryotic SRP consists of a 300-nucleotide 7S RNA and six proteins: SRPs 72, 68, 54, 19, 14, and 9. Lineage: Eukaryota; Metazoa; Chordata; Mammalia; Primates; Cercopithecidae. The record is from Ensembl.